Molecule: ribosomal RNA, 446 nt
Filed under: uncultured bacterium
Lineage: Bacteria
Description: partial 16S ribosomal RNA
Rfam family: Bacterial small subunit ribosomal RNA
Source: RNAcentral
CCUACGGGUGGCAGCAGUCGAGAAUCAUUCACAAUGGGGGAAACCCUGAUGGUGCGACGCCGCGUGGGGGAAUGAAGGUCUUCGGAUUGUAAACCCCUGUCAUGUGGGAGCAAAUUAAAAAGAUAGUACCACAAGAGGAAGAGACGGCUAACUCUGUGCCAGCAGCCGCGGUAAUACAGAGGUUUCAAGCGUUGUUCGGAAUCACUGGGCGUAAAGCGUGCGUAGGCUGUUUCGUAAGUCGUGUGUGAAAGGCGCGGGCUCAACCCGCGGACGGCACAUGAUACUGCGAGACUAGAGUAAGGGAGGGGGAACCGGAAUUCUCGGUGUAGCAGUGAAAUGCGUAGAUAUCGAGAGGAACACUCGUGGCGAAGGCGGGUUCCUGGACAUUAACUGACGCUGAGGCACGAAGGCCAGGGGAGCGAAAGGGAUUAGAUACCCCUGUAGUC